This 255-nucleotide long non-coding RNA is filed under the name Vitis vinifera (wine grape). RNAcentral describes it as "long non-coding RNA (VVIN_LNC000218)". Lineage: Eukaryota; Viridiplantae; Streptophyta; Magnoliopsida; Vitales; Vitaceae. The record is from RNAcentral.
CAGAGGUGAGAGUGUUGCAAUUGUGAAGCCAACGGAUGAGGAACCUUUUGCCCCCAAUAACCCAAAAGGUUUUGUUGGUAAAGCUCUUGGGCAGCCAGGUUUGAAACGUACUGUUAGGGUUGGGGAGACGGGGUUCAGAGAAGUCGCUGCUUACCUGCUUGACUAUGAUCAUUUUGCCAAUGUGCCCCCCACUGCACUGGUGAAGAUCACGCAUUCAAUCUUCAAUGUCAAUGAUGGAGUGAAUGGAAACAAGCC